RNAcentral lists this ribosomal RNA (1535 nucleotides) under synthetic bacterium JCVI-Syn3A. RNAcentral's name for it is "bacterial SSU rRNA". It matches the Rfam family "Bacterial small subunit ribosomal RNA". The record is from RNAcentral.
UUUUUAAAAUGAGAGUUUGAUCCUGGCUCAGGAUAAACGCUGGCGGCAUGCCUAAUACAUGCAAGUCGAACGGAGGUGCUUGCACCUCAGUGGCGAACGGGUGAGUAACACGUAUCUAACCUACCUCAUAGCGGGGGAUAACUUUUGGAAACGAAAGAUAAUACCGCAUGUAGAUCUUAUUAUCGCAUGAGAAAAGAUCAAAAGAACCGUUUGGUUCACUAUGAGAUGGGGAUGCGGCGUAUUAGCUAGUAGGUGAGAUAAUAGCCCACCUAGGCGAUGAUACGUAGCCGAACUGAGAGGUUGAUCGGCCACAUUGGGACUGAGAUACGGCCCAGACUCCUACGGGAGGCAGCAGUAGGGAAUUUUUCACAAUGGACGAAAGUCUGAUGAAGCAAUGCCGCGUGAGUGAUGACGGCCUUCGGGUUGUAAAGCUCUGUUGUAAGGGAAGAAAAAAUAAAGUAGGAAAUGACUUUAUCUUGACAGUACCUUACCAGAAAGCCACGGCUAACUAUGUGCCAGCAGCCGCGGUAAUACAUAGGUGGCAAGCGUUAUCCGGAUUUAUUGGGCGUAUAGGGUGCGUAGGCGGUUUUGCAAGUUUGAGGUUAAAGUCCGGAGCUCAACUCCGGUUCGCCUUGAAAACUGUAUUACUAGAAUGCAAGAGAGGUAAGCGGAAUUCCGUGUGUAGCGGUGAAAUGCGUAGAUAUAUGGAAGAACACCUGUGGCGAAAGCGGCUUACUGGCUUGUUAUUGACGCUGAGGCACGAAAGCGUGGGGAGCAAAUAGGAUUAGAUACCCUAGUAGUCCACGCCGUAAACGAUGAGUACUAAGUGUUGGGGUAACUCAGCGCUGCAGCUAACGCAUUAAGUACUCCGCCUGAGUAGUAUGCUCGCAAGAGUGAAACUCAAAGGAAUUGACGGGGACCCGCACAAGUGGUGGAGCAUGUGGUUUAAUUCGAAGCAACACGAAGAACCUUACCAGGGCUUGACAUCCAGUGCAAAGCUAUAGAGAUAUAGUAGAGGUUAACAUUGAGACAGGUGGUGCAUGGUUGUCGUCAGUUCGUGCCGUGAGGUGUUGGGUUAAGUCCCGCAACGAACGCAACCCUUGUCGUUAGUUACUAACAUUAAGUUGAGAACUCUAACGAGACUGCUAGUGUAAGCUAGAGGAAGGUGGGGAUGACGUCAAAUCAUCAUGCCCCUUAUGUCCUGGGCUACACACGUGCUACAAUGGCUGGUACAAAGAGUUGCAAUCCUGUGAAGGGGAGCUAAUCUCAAAAAACCAGUCUCAGUUCGGAUUGAAGUCUGCAACUCGACUUCAUGAAGCCGGAAUCACUAGUAAUCGCGAAUCAGCUAUGUCGCGGUGAAUACGUUCUCGGGUCUUGUACACACCGCCCGUCACACCAUGAGAGUUGGUAAUACCAGAAGUAGGUAGCUUAACCGUUUGGAGAGCGCUUCCUAAGGUAGGACUAGCGAUUGGGGUGAAGUCGUAACAAGGUAUCCGUACGGGAACGUGCGGAUGGAUCACCUCCUUUCUAUGGAG